RNAcentral lists this transfer RNA (76 nucleotides) under Candidatus Cryosericum hinesii. Its description in RNAcentral is "tRNA-Ala". It matches the Rfam family "tRNA". From Rfam's summary of the family: Transfer RNA (tRNA) molecules are approximately 80 nucleotides in length. Their secondary structure includes four short double-helical elements and three loops (D, anti-codon, and T loops). Lineage: Bacteria; Pseudomonadati; Candidatus Cryosericota; Candidatus Cryosericia; Candidatus Cryosericales; Candidatus Cryosericaceae. The record is from RNAcentral. RNAcentral also lists the same sequence under 3 other names.
GGGGGUGUGGCUCAGUUGGGAGAGCGCAUGGUUUGCAUCCAUGAGGUCGCGGGUUCAAAUCCCGCCAUCUCCACCA